UACGUAGGUGGCAAGCGUUGUCCGGAAUUACUGGGCGUAAAGGGCGUGUAGGCGGUUUAUUAAGUCAGGCGUGAAAAGUCAGGGCUUAACCUUGAACAUGCGUUUGAGACUGAUAGACUUGAGGAACGGAGAGGGCAGUGGAAUUCCCAGUGUAGCGGUGAAAUGCGUAGAUAUUGGGAGGAACACCAGUGGCGAAGGCGACUGCCUGGACGACACCUGACGCUGAGGCGCGAAAGCCAGGGGAGCAAACGGG
Molecule: ribosomal RNA, 253 nt
Filed under: uncultured bacterium
Lineage: Bacteria
Description: partial 16S ribosomal RNA
Rfam family: Bacterial small subunit ribosomal RNA
Source: RNAcentral